CACUCCCACUCUCUCUCUCAUAUCUCUCACUUUUCUCUUCCUCUCUUGCCGAGACAUACACACACACACCCACAUACAUUCAGACCACCCACCACCACUACCAUCUCUGACCUCUAGACACAAAUCUCAGACAUAGAGGUUCCUUUCUUCCCACAUUUUUCGGCUGCAUAGUCGUGGUCACUGUGCAAUACUUUUAUCAGGCGAAUUCUCGCCAUUUCUGGCCAAGGAACUCGAAAAACACAAGGGAAGUCACUGUGCAAAAUCUGGAAUUUCAAAUCUGUGAUCAUUUGGCCACUUUCCAACCAUUUUUCCGGCCAACGCCGAUCACCGUUGGGCCUCCUAACGGUUAUGGAAGAUGGCUUAGCUCAAAACAAUCCCAAAGUUGUGAUAGCUAGAAGAAUUUACAAGAAGGGGAACUCUGCAGGUGUGCAAAUUCUGGUGCAGUGGCAAGAUCAAGAGGAGGAUAAUGCUCUUUGGGAGGACUUCAACGAAUUCCAGGCCAAGUUUCCUGAUUUUUCUCUUUGAACCUUGUGGACAAGGUUUUCUUAAAGAGGGAGUGUUGUUAUGAAUUGCAUAUCUGUGAUUACUUCGAUCACAAGAAUAAUAAUUAGCUAUAGUUAAAGGGUUAAAUUGUAAGAGAUUUGGGGGUUGAAUUGUAAUGAUCUGGGAUCUUUGGGUUUGAUUGUAAUAGGCCAAGUGUUGUAGGGAGUUGAUUCCAUAAGUUUGUUGAAGUUGUACAACUGGCAAUCACACUGGAUUACUAGCUACUGGUAUAUAUCUCUCUCUCCACACUCAUUGUAAUGGUUAGAUUUGAAUUAUUCCAGUCCCAACUUCUUCUCCAUUUGCAUUGCUGCUGAUGAGUCCAUA
This is a non-coding RNA of Malus domestica (apple), 867 nucleotides long. The record is from RefSeq and is a predicted model, not a curated record. Lineage: Eukaryota; Viridiplantae; Streptophyta; Magnoliopsida; Rosales; Rosaceae.